AUACUAGGGCUGCAUUAGCAGGUUACUCUGAUAUAGUAAAUUGUGGAUAUUAUCUCGGUAUU
This 62-nucleotide transfer RNA is filed under the name Dugesia japonica. Its description in RNAcentral is "tRNA-Ile". Lineage: Eukaryota; Metazoa; Platyhelminthes; Tricladida; Dugesiidae. The record is from RNAcentral.